UACGAAGGGGGCUAGCGUUGCUCGGAAUUACUGGGCGUAAAGGGCGCGUAGGCGGAUAGUUUAGUCAGGGGUGAAAGCCCAGGGCUCAACCUUGGAAUUGCCUUUGAUACUGGCUAUCUUGAGUUCGGGAGAGGUGAGUGGAAUGCCGAGUGUAGAGGUGAAAUUCGUAGAUAUUCGGCGGAACACCAGUGGCGAAGGCGACUCACUGGCCCGAUACUGACGCUGAGGCGCGAAAGCGUGGGGAGCAAACAGG
This 253-nucleotide ribosomal RNA is filed under the name uncultured bacterium. RNAcentral's name for it is "partial 16S ribosomal RNA". It matches the Rfam family "Bacterial small subunit ribosomal RNA", at positions 524 to 776 of the family's 1533-position model. The record is from RNAcentral.